GCUGUAUGCUGUCGGUUGUUAAACAUACCCAGAACCUUGCUGAGACCUGGCCAAAAAACCCCGCCUGUUUCCACAAAAACAAGGACCAGAGAGAAGGAUCGUCGUGCAUAAAUGAGGAAGAAAAUCUCUCUGGCACAUGACUUGGAGCUCCUGGUGUCCAGAUCGACUGCAACUGGGUUUUGUGGCAAUAGCACAGAUUAUCGGCUCUGGGCUUUAUCGGGAUCCUAGACACUUGCUGAAAGUAUUUCAACAGCGACCUGAGUCCCAAAGAGUUCAAGCCUCUCUCCCUUUCUGCUACUGUCACCACCACGGCAGCAAAAGAGAAGCCCAGCCCUUGUGCCCCUUGGCGUCUGACCCCAGGCUGACUUGGCCACACUGCCAUUUGCCUCCUGCAUGCUGAUACACCUGGAUGUCUGCAGAACUAGUAAAUAUUUGCCCACGCGGGAGAGAGCAAAUGGCGGUUUCUGCACAGGGUAGGUGAUGAGGCAGCUGGUCCCCCUGUGUCAAUAGUGUGAAACCAACAAUGGCAAUGUGCAAUGAUGACACACUAUCUGUUAGCUUCAGAGAAGGGAGCUACCAAUGGCCAUGACCUCCAGACUCCACGGCUGCACCUUCAGGGCAGCCGGAGCACAGGUCUGCUUUCUGCUCUGGAUGUCAGCUCUUCACUGCACUCUGCUGCCUUCCAGCCCCUGGCACAGCUGAACUUCAAGAUCACUGCAGUGACAUUUCAACUUUCCCCAGGGGCUUUAGGAAUCAAUCGUGUCCUUUUGCAGGGCACCUGACUGCUUCUGUCCAUACAGCAUGUGACUCUUGAUCUCUGGGCUGUGAGUUCAAGCUCCAUAUUGGG
This 847-nucleotide long non-coding RNA is filed under the name Ursus maritimus (polar bear). Its description in RNAcentral is "lncRNA (ENSUMAG00000009722.1)". The record is from RNAcentral. Lineage: Eukaryota; Metazoa; Chordata; Mammalia; Carnivora; Ursidae.